This 337-nucleotide ribosomal RNA is filed under the name uncultured Leptolinea sp. Its description in RNAcentral is "bacterial SSU rRNA". It matches the Rfam family "Bacterial small subunit ribosomal RNA", at positions 1036 to 1382 of the family's 1533-position model. The record is from RNAcentral. Lineage: Bacteria; Bacillati; Chloroflexota; Anaerolineae; Anaerolineales; Anaerolineaceae.
CAGUGCUGCAUGGCUGUCAUCAGCUCGUGUCGUGAGAUGUUCGGUUAAGUCCGCUAACGAGCGCAACCCUCGCCGUGUGUUACAAGUGUCACACGGUACUGCCCGGGUCCUUUAAAGCCGGAGGAAGGUGGGGAUGACGUCAAGUCAGCAUGGCCUUUAUGUCCUGGGCUACACACACGCUACAAUGGCCAACACAAUAGGUUGCUAAGCCGCGAGGUGGAGCCAAUCCUCAAAGUUGGUCUCAGUUCAGAUUGCAGGCUGCAACCCGCCUGCAUGAAGAUGGAGUUGCUAGUAACCGCAGGUCAGCUAUACUGCGGUGAAUACGUUCCCGGGGCUU